This 375-nucleotide ribosomal RNA is filed under the name uncultured organism. RNAcentral's name for it is "bacterial SSU rRNA". It matches the Rfam family "Bacterial small subunit ribosomal RNA", at positions 525 to 896 of the family's 1533-position model. The record is from RNAcentral.
CGGGGGGGAGCAAGCGUUGUUCGGAUUUACUGGGCGUAAAGGGCGCGUAGGCGGCCUCUGCAAGUCGACUGUGAAAUCUCCGGGCUUAACCCGGAAAGGUCAGCCGAUACUGCAGGGCUAGAGUGCAGAAGGGGCAACUGGAAUUCUCGGUGUAGCGGUGAAAUGCGUAGAUAUCGAGAGGAACACCUGCGGCGAAGGCGGGUUGCUGGGCUGACACUGACGCUGAAGCGCGAAAGCUAGGGGAGCGAACGGGAUUAGAUACCCCGGUAGUCCUAGCCUUAGACGAUGAAUGCUUGGUGUCUGGGGUUUUAUAGUCCCCGGGUGCCGUCGCUAACGCUUUAAGCAUUCCGCCUGGGGAGUACGGUCGCAAGACUG